GUUGGUUAUAGUGAGUUCGGGAAAGUGUUCAAGUUCAGCAGCAUAUUUCAGCCUACGUACCUGUGUUGUGUAGUUUCCUUAAUCUGUUCUGAACGAUCCAGCUUCCAAUAUUUAUGUGUUGAGUUCAUGACGAAAAACUAUAAUGACAAUGCUGGAUAUUGGAAUGUUCUGAUGAAUACUGCUGGAUCUCAAUACAGUUAAUUGAA
Long non-coding RNA from Cyprinus carpio (common carp), 206 nucleotides. RefSeq lists it as uncharacterized. The transcript is spliced from 2 exons. Lineage: Eukaryota; Metazoa; Chordata; Actinopteri; Cypriniformes; Cyprinidae. The record is from RefSeq and is a predicted model, not a curated record.